RNAcentral lists this ribosomal RNA (253 nucleotides) under uncultured bacterium. RNAcentral's name for it is "partial 16S ribosomal RNA". It matches the Rfam family "Bacterial small subunit ribosomal RNA", at positions 524 to 776 of the family's 1533-position model. The record is from RNAcentral.
UACAGAGGUCCCAAGCGUUGUUCGGAUUCACUGGGCGUAAAGGGUGCGUAGGCGGUCGGGUAAGUCUGAUGUGAAAUCUCACAGCUUAACUGUGAAACUGCAUUGGAUACUAUCCGGCUCGAGGAAUGGAGGGGAGACUGGAAUACUUGGUGUAGCAGUGAAAUGCGUAGAUAUCAAGUGGAACACCAGUGGCGAAGGCGAGUCUCUGGACAUUUCCUGACGCUGAGGCGCGAAAGCCAGGGGAGCAAACGGG